GAGGGUAUAGCUCAGUGGUAGAGUGCUUGCCUAGCAUGCAUGAGGUCCUGGGUUCGAUCCCUAGCACUUCCA
Molecule: transfer RNA, 72 nt
Filed under: Camelus bactrianus (Bactrian camel)
Lineage: Eukaryota; Metazoa; Chordata; Mammalia; Artiodactyla; Camelidae
Also listed under: 2 other names
Rfam family: tRNA
About the family: Transfer RNA (tRNA) molecules are approximately 80 nucleotides in length.
Source: Rfam by way of RNAcentral